UCUUGCGCGACACGGCGAGAGAGUCGGAGAAGGGGUCUCGGCACUUGUGUGGCCUGUGCCGUCUCCUUGUGUUGAACUACCGUGGCUUUGUCUUUCCCGCGUCUCUGCCGGUUGCGUGGCGGACUGCGCGUUUUGCCUGGCCGCCUAGAGCCUGUAUUGGCACGCACACGUCUCGUCGGUAGAACCACGACCCUUCCGGCCGCCCUUCCGCGCACAGGGCUUAAUGGCUCGCCAUUACUUCCAGGCGUUAUUUGUUCUGCGAGGAAAGACCGCCGCUGCACUGGCACAUCGGCGCGUGCCGCAGUUGUCGUCGGCUUCACAUUUUCCUCGUCUCUACAUCGCUUUAUCAGUGACGCGCUUGACGGAGCACCUUGGGCUUGUCGGUGCAGCAUGAACCGCUGUAGUGUAAAGAGGCGCCUUUCGCUGCGGCUGCCAGUGGUGCCGACUGCAGGCCUCCUGCGGCGAGCACCACGAGCAGCAGGCACGCGCAGCGGCAGCGGUGCACUUUGUGUCGCUGCUGCGCCCAUCGGCAGUAGCACCAGCCUCGUUAGCUCCUCUGGCCGGAAGGCUCCCGUGUACUACAACUUUGCCACGCCGGUGAGUGUGCUCCGUGAUGCGGCGGGUGGUGAAAGUGUGUCUCACCGACGCCAACGCCGCGAGGCGCCGGCUCGAGAGGGAAGGCUGCUACUUGUGGCGCCGCGCACGCCGAAUCCGAACGACCCGCUUCAGCGACUGAACAUUUUUCGACGCGAGUUUUCCGAUUUCAGCAGCGCCGCAAAGCUCAAUCAGAAUAUCAUGGUGAGCGUCGACACGAGCACGCGCCGCUUCCUCGAAAUGUUCUGUGACUUUGAUGCCAAACGCUGCAAGCUGUGCAAUGAGACGUUCUUGCAGUGGCACAUCCACGCCAACGGCAUUCCGCACGUGGGGCGAGAAGGGAUGCUGCUGGAGCUUGUUCGCCCGUAUUGUGGAACUCCGGAUGAACUAAUAGACAUGUGGUGGCAGCGGCUGAACUCGUGCGCUGCGUUUCACCGGAUUCCCGCCCUGAGUCACGACAACCCACACGAGCGCAAGCGGCGUCUGCUAUAUCUGCUGAAGGUGCUGAAAGACCGCGGCAUCCUUGUAGAGACGUUCAACGUGAGUGACAACCAGUCCACCAACUCAGCGCGCUCGUGGGAGUUUGAGAGGCUCGAGUUCGUGGGCGACAAUGUGGUCAAGUACGUGCUGAACAGCAUUAUUUCCUGUGCAUUUCCACCUCACGAGGGCGGCACAAAAGGAAAGAUGACGUGCUUUCAGUUCGUGAUGGACGGCAACGAUGGCUUGGCACGCGGCUACGACCACCUCGACCUCCAGCAGCUCGCCUCCAGCCCUAGGGUAGUCAGCAAAUUCAAGAGUGACAUUGUCGAGACCCUGUUCGCGGAGCUGCAGAUGUACCUGUGGAGCACGCAGCACGAUGUCGGCACCUGUCCUCUUGUGUUUCCAUUUACGAAAGAUAUUUACACCCUGCGGGCGCUGGUGCAGCAUGCGCUGUACGAGCUAGCUAUUGAACUCUUUCUCUACCACAUUCGCCACAUUAACGGCAUGCUACAACGCGUGAUGCGAGAGAAUCACCUGCAGUUCGUAAAAGCAGAUUCCACGCUGAAGCCAAGGGCGGGCGCAAGGGCCGGGAGUUUGGGCGUGAGCACGCGCCGUGGUGACUGGAGCGAUGACGACGAUGACUACGACUGCCCGCAAAGCUACGGUGCGCCGGCGGUGCCCGCCCCCACGGCGGCCCUCAUGAAGGUGCGCUGCGAGCGCACCCACCUGAAGGGCACCGGUGCGGCGCUGUUCUUUGCCUCGACAAACUACGAUAGCUUCAAGCACGUGGUACCGAUCGGUGGCCUUUUGCCGCGGCCAUUUGCGCGGGAGGAUUUGUCAGUGAUCCCAAACUACAUGCCGCACCUCCGGCGCGAUGGCGCGAUGACGCUGAGGAUGAGGAGGGCCGGGAAUGCCGGCUGGUCGACCCUGCACGGCACAGCAGCAGCUCUCGCCACGAGGGAAGGCGUUGCCGGCGGUCUCGCCCUAAGUGCCGGCAUCACACCUCGUGUGGGCAGCGAGCCAGUACGCUUGUCCGUUCCGCGUCUCAAGGACGAGGAGCUCAUUCCAGAGCUGAUCUAAGCGCCUCACCGGUGCGCCUCUCCUUAUGUGUCUCUUCUUUAUUUGGGGCCUCACUUCCCCGCCUCUUCCUCCAUCUCGAACACGAGAGAGCUGGUCGAAGUGGCUCGGGUCGCAUGCGGGGGAGUAGGUUAGCAGAUGCAAGAGACAAGAAGACGAGCUUGCAGCGCUACAACAGCGACUCUGGACAACUGAGAUACAAACGCAGACAAACUCACUCAUGAUGACACCGCACAUACUCACAACAUGCACGAAGCUCUAUGGAGAAUCACAUCAACGACAACAAAAAGAAACCCUGGGUGGGGGGCAUGCUGGGGUGCAGGUGUGGAGGUGACGCUGCCCUUCGACGAGCUGGCAGGCGAGGCGCCUCCACUGUACAAGGCGAAGGGCGCGAAUGAAGAGACGAAGUCUCAGGAGUCGUUUUUUUUUUCGUAUCUCAGAGCCCCACCCCCCUCCUCACACACACACACACACGCACACUUUCCUCCCCUCUUAUAUCCGUUGUCUACCCCUCUUUCCCGUUUUUGUGCAGCGUGUGUGCGUGCGCGAGUGGGCUUGCUAAGUCUGCAGGAGAGAGGAUGGGGCAGGGGUAACAGAGGCUCUCGUUACAGGUCCAUGCUGUGGUCUAUUGUGUGCACUCAUGUCGAUCCGUGUCAAGUAUCACUGCGGACGCUUUCCUCCUUUCUGGUCGCGUGCUUCGCUGCUCAUUUCUCUCUCUUCCCUCCUCUCCGUGCGCUGUGGCACCCGCAG
RNAcentral lists this unclassified non-coding RNA (2901 nucleotides) under Leishmania donovani. Its description in RNAcentral is "gene:LdHU3.36.1450(CDS-product:RNA_editing_comple x_protein_MP61)". Lineage: Eukaryota; Euglenozoa; Kinetoplastea; Trypanosomatida; Trypanosomatidae. The record is from RNAcentral.